CUCUGGGGAGACAGAAACAAAAAGCAGACAUCUAGUCCCCUGCUCCCCAGGAGUUUACAUUCUACUGGACCACUCAGUUUGAUCUGUGCCGUGUGGGAAAGCCGGAGGGGCUGCUGCGGAGGUUCUGAUAAUAGCUUGGAUGAAGGUGACUCAUUGCCAGAUUUCUACUGCCCUCUCUUCUUCCCCAUGAAAUGCAGGCUCCUGGGAGCCAGAAAAGAAGACUCGGGCACUUAAGGGAAAAUUGAGGCCUGUACCAGGGACCUGCUGUGCUGAACCUUGACCAUUCUGGAAUUGUACAUGCCUCUCAUCUCUGAGGAGAGCCAGAGAUGUUUAUUGUGUUUGAGAAUUCUCACCAACUGGUCCCUAACCCAUGAUUCCACAGGAAAGAGGUGGGGUUGUCUGCAGGAAAGCCCAGGAAGAGGAAACCAAACCACAGCUUUGGAUGGAAACUAAAGGUCAGCGACUUAGCCCCUGGAUAGCCGGAGAUCUCUCUUACAGUUUGUUUUUCUCAUGUUAGGUUAUUGGGGAAAGCAUGGGGAAGGUGAGGACAGAAUGAAGAAGGAGGUUAAAAGGCAAGGAAAGAGGAUUGAAGGGAAAGGAUUGACAGUGGCUUUAAAAUGAAUAGGAUUAUAGAAUUUUGAGCUGUAAGGGACCCUAGGGACCACCCAAUCCAACCUUUUUAUCUUACAUAUGAGGAAGCUGUGACCCAGAGAGGGGGAAAUGACCUUCCCAAGGUCACCCAGAAAUUAAGCUGCAGAGAACCAGGUCUUGUGGUACCAGAUGUGAUGCUCUUUCUCCUGCCUUAAUGGUGUCUGACUGACAGUGACUAGGGAGAGGCCAAGGUCAUUAUGAAAUUUGUUUUGAUUAUUAAUGUGAACAAUGACAAGCAUUAUUAAUAAUCA
Trichosurus vulpecula (common brushtail) is the source of this 902-nucleotide long non-coding RNA. RefSeq lists it as uncharacterized. The record is from RefSeq and is a predicted model, not a curated record. Lineage: Eukaryota; Metazoa; Chordata; Mammalia; Diprotodontia; Phalangeridae. The transcript is spliced from 2 exons.